RNAcentral lists this ribosomal RNA (265 nucleotides) under Escherichia coli. Its description in RNAcentral is "partial 23S ribosomal RNA". It matches the Rfam family "Bacterial large subunit ribosomal RNA", at positions 2684 to 2925 of the family's 2925-position model. The record is from RNAcentral. Lineage: Bacteria; Pseudomonadati; Pseudomonadota; Gammaproteobacteria; Enterobacterales; Enterobacteriaceae.
CGAGAGGACCGGAGUGGACGCAUCACUGGUGUUCGGGUUGUCAUGCCAAUGGCACUGCCCGGUAGCUAAAUGCGGAAGAGAUAAGUGCUGAAAGCAUCUAAGCACGAAACUUGCCCCGAGAUGAGUUCUCCCUGACUCCUUGAGAGUCCUGAAGGAACGUUGAAGACGACGACGUUGAUAGGCCGGGUGUGUAAGCGCAGCGAUGCGUUGAGCUAACCGGUACUAAUGAACCGUGAGGCUUAACCUUACAACGCCGAAGGUGUUU